This 68-nucleotide transfer RNA is filed under the name Tropiocolotes steudneri. RNAcentral describes it as "tRNA-Pro". It matches the Rfam family "tRNA". From Rfam's summary of the family: Transfer RNA (tRNA) molecules are approximately 80 nucleotides in length. Their secondary structure includes four short double-helical elements and three loops (D, anti-codon, and T loops). Lineage: Eukaryota; Metazoa; Chordata; Lepidosauria; Squamata; Gekkonidae. The record is from RNAcentral.
CAAAAAAUAGUUUAAGGAAAAUGCUGGUUUUGGGGACCAGUGAUAGAAGUUGUACCUUCUUUUUUUGA